Molecule: ribosomal RNA, 874 nt
Filed under: uncultured bacterium
Lineage: Bacteria
Description: bacterial SSU rRNA
Rfam family: Bacterial small subunit ribosomal RNA
Source: RNAcentral
AUUGAACGCUGGCGGCAUGCCUUACGCAUGCAAGUCGAACGGCAGCACGGGAGCAAUCCUGGUGGCGAGUGGCGAACGGGUGAGUAAUAUAUCGGAACGUGCCCAGUCGUGGGGGAUAACGCAGCGAAAGCUGUGCUAAUACCGCAUACGAUCUCUGGAUGAAAGCGGGGGACUCGCAAGAGCCUCGCGCGAUUGGAGCGGCCGAUAUCAGAUUAGCUAGUUGGUGGGGUAAAAGCCCACCAAGGCGACGAUCUGUAGCUGGUCUGAGAGGACGACCAGCCACACUGGAACUGAGACACGGUCCAGACUCCUACGGGAGGCAGCAGUGGGGAAUUUUGGACAAUGGGCGCAAGCCUGAUCCAGCAAUGCCGCGUGCAGGAUGAAGGCCUUCGGGUUGUAAACUGCUUUUGUACGGAACGAAACGGUCCCUUCUAAUACAAGGGGCUAAUGACGGUACCGUAAGAAUAAGCACCGGCUAACUACGUGCCAGCAGCCGCGGUAAUACGUAGGGUGCGAGCGUUAAUCGGAAUUACUGGGCGUAAAGCGUGCGCAGGCGGUUAUAUAAGACAGAUGUGAAAUCCCCGGGCUCAACCUGGGACCUGCAUUUGUGACUGUAUAGCUAGAGUACGGUAGAGGGGGAUGGAAUUCCGCGUGUAGCAGUGAAAUGCGUAGAUAUGCGGAGGAACACCGAUGGCGAAGGCAAUCCCCUGGACCUGUACUGACGCUCAUGCACGAAAGCGUGGGGAGCAAACAGGAUUAGAUACCCUGGUAGUCCACGCCCUAAACGAUGUCAACUGGUUGUUGGGUCUUCACUGACUCAGUAACGAAGCUAACGCGUGAAGUUGACCGCCUGGGGAGUACGGCCGCAAGGUUG